AAAUUGAAGAGUUUGAUCAUGGCUCAGAUUGAACGCUGGCGGCAGGCCUAACACAUGCAAGUCGAGCGGAAACGAGUUGUCUGAACCUUCGGGGAACGAUAACGGCGUCGAGCGGCGGACGGGUGAGUAAUGCCUAGGAAAUUGCCCUGAUGUGGGGGAUAACCAUUGGAAACGAUGGCUAAUACCGCAUGAUGCCUACGGGCCAAAGAGGGGGACCUUCGGGCCUCUCGCGUCAGGAUAUGCCUAGGUGGGAUUAGCUAGUUGGUGAGGUAAGGGCUCACCAAGGCGACGAUCCCU
This 297-nucleotide ribosomal RNA is filed under the name Vibrio parahaemolyticus. Its description in RNAcentral is "partial 16S ribosomal RNA". It matches the Rfam family "Bacterial small subunit ribosomal RNA", at positions 1 to 284 of the family's 1533-position model. Lineage: Bacteria; Pseudomonadati; Pseudomonadota; Gammaproteobacteria; Vibrionales; Vibrionaceae. The record is from RNAcentral.